Molecule: ribosomal RNA, 440 nt
Filed under: uncultured bacterium
Lineage: Bacteria
Description: partial 16S ribosomal RNA
Rfam family: Bacterial small subunit ribosomal RNA
Source: RNAcentral
CCUACGGGCGGCAGCAGUGGGGAAUAUUGCACAAUGGGGGAAACCCUGAUGCAGCGACGCCGCGUGAGUGAAGAAGUAAUUCGUUAUGUAAAGCUCUAUCAGCAGGGAAGAAAAUGACGGUACCUGAGUAAGAAGCCCCGGCUAACUACGUGCCAGCAGCCGCGGUAAUACGUAGGGGGCAAGCGUUAUCCGGAUUUACUGGGUGGAAAGGGAGCGUAGACGGCAGUGCAAGUCUGGAGUGAAAGGCGGGGACUCAACCCCCGGACUGCUCUGGAAACUGUACGGCUGGAGUGCAGGAGAGGUAAGUGGAAUUCCUAGUGUAGCGGUGAAAUGCGUAGAUAUUAGGAGGAACACCAGUGGCGAAGGCGGCUUACUGGACUGUAACUGACGUUGAGGCUCGAAAGCGUGGGGAUCGAACAGGAUUAGAUACCCGUGUAGUC